Molecule: transfer RNA, 71 nt
Filed under: Pygoplites diacanthus
Lineage: Eukaryota; Metazoa; Chordata; Actinopteri; Pomacanthidae
Description: tRNA-Ser
Rfam family: tRNA
About the family: Transfer RNA (tRNA) molecules are approximately 80 nucleotides in length. Their secondary structure includes four short double-helical elements and three loops (D, anti-codon, and T loops).
Source: RNAcentral
AAGAAGGUGGCAGAGCGGUUAUGCGACUGGCUUGAAACCAGUCUAUGGGGGUUCAAUUCCUCCCUUUCUCG